AGAUUGAACGCUAGCGGGAUGCUUUACACAUGCAAGUCGAACGGCAGCGCGGACUUCGGUCUGGCGGCGAGUGGCGAACGGGUGAGUAAUAUAUCGGAACGUGCCCAGUAGCGGGGGAUAACUACGCGAAAGCGUGGCUAAUACCGCAUACGCCCUACGGGGGAAAGGGGGGGAGUUCUUCGGAACCUCUCACUAUUGGAGCGGCCGAUAUCAGAUUAGCUAGUUGGUGAGGUAAAGGCUCACCAAGGCGACGAUCUGUAGCUGGUUUGAGAGGACGACCAGCCACACUGGGACUGAGACACGCCCAGACUCCUACGGGA
This 320-nucleotide ribosomal RNA is filed under the name uncultured soil bacterium. Its description in RNAcentral is "bacterial SSU rRNA". It matches the Rfam family "Bacterial small subunit ribosomal RNA", at positions 26 to 346 of the family's 1533-position model. The record is from RNAcentral.